UGAUACUUUUCACGUCUGGUAACUACAUUGGAACUUGGCAGUAGAACCCUUCUCUCCUGAUAACUGUUCUACGUUGGAACCCGGCAGUAGAACCCUUCACUUCCGGUUAGAACCUGGCAGCAAAACUCUUCACUUCCGGCAACUACGUCGGAACCUGCCGGUAGAACCCUUCACUUGAUGUAACUACGUUGGAACUUAGCAGUAAACCCUUCACUUCCGAUUGGGACCUGGCAGUAGAACCCUUCACUUCUGGCAACUACGUCGGAACCUGCCGGUAGAACCCUUCACUUGAUGUAACUACGUUGGAACCUGGCAGUGGCAACUAUGUCGGAACCUGGCAGUAGAACCCUUCACUUCCUGUAUUUAUGUUGGAACCUGGCAGUAGAACCCUUCACUUCCUGUAUUUAUGUUGGAACCUGGCAGUAAACCCUUCACUUCCGAUUGGAACCUGGCAGCAGGACCCUUCACUUCCGGCAACUACGUCGGAACCUGGCAGCAGAACCCUUAACUUCCGGUAACUACAUUGGAACUCAGCAGUAGAACCCUUUCUUGACACUGUCCUACUUUGGUAUCCGGCAGUAAAAUGUUUUAUUUUCGUUGACUAGGUUGGAACUCAGUAGUAGAACCCUUUUCUUUCGAUAACUGUUCUACGUUGGAACCUGGCAGUAGAACUGUUCUGUUCACUGACCUACGUUAAAGCCUGGAAAUACCCUUCUUUUCUGUUAACAGUUCUACCUUUGAACUCAGCACUAGAACCCUUCUGGUAACUGUUGUUGACUUUGUUUUUUUUUUUCUGCUGACUUUUUUUUUUUUUUUUUACCUAUGUCAGGUUGACACGGUGCUUGUUUAAUUUUUUUUCUUGCAAAAAAAGAACUCUACUGUAUUGCAUUGUGACCACCACCAUUUGUUUGUGUCUGUUGAUAUUGGAAAUUAAAUGUUGGACAAUAUCUGAUAUGUGCAAAUAUAUAUAAUGUAAUAUCUUUAACAUGUUUGGUUCAUAAACAUACUUUGUAUGUGUACAUUUAUUUAUUUUUUU
Molecule: long non-coding RNA, 1036 nt
Filed under: Gouania willdenowi (blunt-snouted clingfish)
Lineage: Eukaryota; Metazoa; Chordata; Actinopteri; Blenniiformes; Gobiesocidae
Description: lncRNA (ENSGWIG00000002509.1)
Source: RNAcentral